Molecule: long non-coding RNA, 256 nt
Organism: Phyllostomus discolor (pale spear-nosed bat)
Lineage: Eukaryota; Metazoa; Chordata; Mammalia; Chiroptera; Phyllostomidae
Exons: 3
Source: RefSeq, a predicted model, not a curated record
UGUCAUCUUGUUAGAACGUCUUCCCAAAUGUACACAAUCUAAAAUAACCAGCUAGGCGCUUGGACUCACAUGAUUCUCCAUUCUCUGCAUAGUAUUUCUGCCAUGAUUAUUUUGAUUGACUUACUGUUUAUUUCCUUUCCAAACUCCAGUCUGCUGAAAUAGGUUGUGAGUUCUACAAGAGUAGAAAUUGCUUCUGUCUUUACCCUGGAAUUGUUGCACCUGGAACAGUGCUUGGAACAUGAAAUUUAAAAGGCUG